CUUUUGGGGACUUGGCAAUGAAUAAGACUAUUUGAACUUUUAGAGCUUUCCUCAGAGAAACUCUCCAAGUGUUUAGCAGCGUACAUGGACUGAGACCCAGAAGCAGGAUGUAUCCGUCUGACUUCUCACAACUGAGGGCUGAGAGAAGGGGCUGGAGAGAGGAGGUAAACUGUAUCAGUUUCUGGCACAGAGGCUGCCAGACCUCUAAGGAUGCUGUGGAGAUGAGCGUGCUCGUGGGAGCCGGGCAGAGGAGGUUACCCAGGCAGCUCGCGGAGACGGGACGGGCUCCGGCGUUGCAGAUAACGGGAGCUCUCAGGGAUGCAGCAAAGAGAAACCUGGUGAUCUGCCUGGGGGAUGAAAGAACAGGGGACUGUGCCAGUGAGGAUGGAGAGCAGGCAUUUCUCCUUCAAGGUUGCUUGUGAAUGGCAAGUCGUCAUUCUUGAUGAUCAACAAAGCAAUCAUAUUUGUGUAGUGCUAUACCACAGCCCGUCGCUUCAGCCUCCGUGGAAGUACUGCAGCUCAUGGAAAGGCUGGAAGGAGCAGCCCAGCACUGUUUUCCUCUCUGAGGCAAGAGAUGGGUUUCCUGAACUGGAAUUUGCCCACGACAAUGAGUUUAAGGAAAUGAUUCCUCUUCCCACCUUGAUUUUUUCAGAUGAGAAAAAGCAGUAG
RNAcentral lists this long non-coding RNA (669 nucleotides) under Struthio camelus australis. RNAcentral's name for it is "lncRNA (ENSSCUG00000011176.1)". The record is from RNAcentral. Lineage: Eukaryota; Metazoa; Chordata; Aves; Struthioniformes; Struthionidae.